UACACUCCUACGGGAGGCAGCAGUGGGGAAUUUUGGACAAUGGGCGAAAGCCUGAUCCAGCAAUGCCGCGUGAGUGAAGAAGGCCUUCGGGUUGUAAAGCUCUUUUGUCAGGGAAGAAACGGUGAAAGCUAAUAUCUUUUGCUAAUGACGGUACCUGAAGAAUAAGCACCGGCUAACUACGUGCCAGCAGCCGCGGUAAUACGUAGGGUGCAAGCGUUAAUCGGAAUUACUGGGCGUAAAGCGUGCGCAGGCGGUUUUGUAAGUCUGAUGUGAAAUCCCCGGGCUCAACCUGGGAAUUGCAUUGGAGACUGCAAGGCUAGAAUCUGGCAGAGGGGGGUAGAAUUCCACGUGUAGCAGUGAAAUGCGUAGAUAUGUGGAGGAACACCGAUGGCGAAGGCAGCCCCCUGGGUCAAGAUUGACGCUCAUGCACGAAAGCGUGGGGAGCAAACAGGAUUAGAAACCCAGUAGUCC
This 471-nucleotide ribosomal RNA is filed under the name uncultured organism. RNAcentral's name for it is "partial 16S ribosomal RNA". It matches the Rfam family "Bacterial small subunit ribosomal RNA", at positions 332 to 796 of the family's 1533-position model. The record is from RNAcentral.